AACGCUAGCUACAGGCUUAACACAUGCAAGUCGAGGGGCAGCAUGAUUGAAGCUUGCUUCAAUUGAUGGCGACCGGCGCACGGGUGAGUAACACGUAUCCAACCUUCCGUACACUCAGGGAUAGCCUUUCGAAAGAAAGAUUAAUACCUGAUGGUAUCUUAAGCACACAUGCAAUUAAGAUUAAAGAUUUAUCGGUGUACGAUGGGGAUGCGUUCCAUUAGGUAGUAGGCGGGGUAGCGGCCCACCUAGCCUACGAUGGAUAGGGGUUCUGAGAGGAAGGUCCCCCACAUUGGAACUGAGACACGGUCCAAACUCCUACGGGAGGCAGCAGUGAGGAAUAUUGGUCAAUGGACGAGAGUCUGAACCAGCCAAGUAGCGUGAAGGAUGAAGGUCCUACGGAUUGUAAACUUCUUUUAUAAGGGAAUAAAACCUCCCACGUGUGGGAGCUUGUAUGUACCUUAUGAAUAAGCAUCGGCUAACUCCGUGCCAGCAGCCGCGGUAAUACGGAGGAUGCGAGCGUUAUCCGGAUUUAUUGGGUUUAAAGGGAGCGCAGACGGGUCGUUAAGUCAGCUGUGAAAGUUUGGGGCUCAACCUUAAAAUUGCAGUUGAUACUGGCGUCCUUGAGUGCGGUUGAGGUGUGCGGAAUUCGUGGUGUAGCGGUGAAAUGCUUAGAUAUCACGAAGAACUCCGAUUG
This 694-nucleotide ribosomal RNA is filed under the name uncultured bacterium. RNAcentral describes it as "bacterial SSU rRNA". It matches the Rfam family "Bacterial small subunit ribosomal RNA", at positions 32 to 715 of the family's 1533-position model. The record is from RNAcentral.